RNAcentral lists this ribosomal RNA (500 nucleotides) under uncultured bacterium. RNAcentral's name for it is "partial 16S ribosomal RNA". It matches the Rfam family "Bacterial small subunit ribosomal RNA", at positions 30 to 523 of the family's 1533-position model. The record is from RNAcentral.
AUUGAACGCUGGCGGAAUGCUUUACACAUGCAAGUCGAACGGGAGCACGGACUUCGGUCUGGUGGCGAGUGGCGAACGGGUGAGUAAUGUAUCGGAACGUGCCCAGUCGUGGGGGAUAACGUAGUGAAAAUUACGCUAAUACCGCAUACGAUCUAUGGAUGAAAGCGGGGGAUCGCAAGACCUCGCGCGAUUGGAGCGGCCGAUAUCAGAUUAGGUAGUUGGUGGGGUAAAGGCCCACCAAGCCACCGAUCUGUAGCUGGUCUGAGAGGACGACCAGCCACACUGGAACUGAGACACGGUCCAGACUCCUACGGGGGGCAGCAGUGGGGAAUUUUGGACAAUGGGCGAAAGCCUGAUCCAGCCAUUCCGCGUGCAGGAUGAAGGCCCUCGGGUUGUAAACUGCUUUUGUACAGAACGAAAAGGUUUCUACUAAUACUAGGAGCUCAUGACGGUACUGUAAGAAUAAGCACCGGCUAACUACGUGCCAGCCGCCGCAGUAA